Molecule: long non-coding RNA, 92 nt
Organism: Pipistrellus kuhlii (Kuhl's pipistrelle)
Lineage: Eukaryota; Metazoa; Chordata; Mammalia; Chiroptera; Vespertilionidae
Exons: 3
Source: RefSeq, a predicted model, not a curated record
UUCACUGAAGCGUUCCAUCCUUGUUGCUACAGAGAAGAUUAGCAUGGCCCCUGGGUAAGGAUAACACGCAAAUUCGUGAAGUGUUCCAUAUU